This is a long non-coding RNA of Hyaena hyaena (striped hyena), 714 nucleotides long. RefSeq lists it as uncharacterized. The transcript is spliced from 2 exons. NCBI's taxonomy places the organism in Eukaryota, Metazoa, Chordata, Mammalia, Carnivora, Hyaenidae. The record is from RefSeq and is a predicted model, not a curated record.
GGUAAAUUUUGCCUCAGUAUCCCAUUUCUUUUCAACAAGAGAGUUUCAGCUUUGAAUCAUUUCACUGGGGUAUAAUCUGUUCUACAUGGUUCUCAGUCUUGAAGAUUCCUGAUACAUCCUGAAGGCACCAGGAUUACCUUAUAUCCAGAACUGUUUGCCCAGACCUGUGGAAGAUUUGCCUUGGGAAGGUAGCCAUUUUGGGAACCUCUGCAUCCAAACGCAUUUUAGGCCAGUGUCUAAGACCACAAAGUGUCAAAUGCUAAGCUGACCAAGUAUUGUGUGAAGACCCGACUGAACUCUUUAAUUCAAAAGGCUAAAUGAAGGAGAGACAUCACUGAAGUGUUGGAUUCUGUGGCAUGUAAGAGACCUGGGAAGUAGAAACGCAGGUGGAUGUGAAUCGUCUGGAAGCCUCAAGAAUGCUCCAGAUGCCUCUUCUCCAUACAGAAGCAAAAGCUCCAACAACCUUUCAGGAGAAAUAAUUUGUAUAGAGGCUGUAGUUAAUCAGUAAAUAAGAGAAGCAACUAGUUUCCAAAAGCUCAGUGGUGUUCAAAACAGGAUGCUACACUUUUGUUUAUUUAUUUCAUAGUGUUUUGUAUUUCAUACAAAGAAGGAAAAACUAAGACUAAUAUCUGUAAUAUCGUGCUCUGUAAACUGCACUUUGUUUCUUUGUAUCUUUUCCCUUUCUGGCAAGGAACUAAAAUGACACAGAUUUUC